Molecule: transfer RNA, 68 nt
Filed under: Marmota monax (woodchuck)
Lineage: Eukaryota; Metazoa; Chordata; Mammalia; Rodentia; Sciuridae
Description: tRNA.Ala
Rfam family: tRNA (bases 5-65)
About the family: Transfer RNA (tRNA) molecules are approximately 80 nucleotides in length. Their secondary structure includes four short double-helical elements and three loops (D, anti-codon, and T loops).
Source: RNAcentral
GGAGCAUGGCCUGGUGGUAGAGUGUGUGCUUUGCAGGCACAAGGCCCUGGGUUCAAUCCCUAGUGUCA